AUUGAACGCUGGCGGCAUGCUUUACACAUGCAAGUCGGACGGCAGCACAGAGAAGCUUGCUUCUUGGGUGGCGAGUGGCGAACGGGUGAGUAACAUAUCGGAACGUACCGAGCAGUGGGGGAUGACUAAUCGAAAGAUUAGCUAAUACCGCAUAUCUUCUGAGGAAGAAAGCAGGGGACCAUUUGGCCUUGCGCUGUUUGAGCGGCCGAUAUCUGAUUAGCUAGUUGGUGGGGUAAAGGCCUACCAAGGCGACGAUCAGUAGCGGGUCUGAGAGGAUGAUCCGCCACACUGGGACUGAGACACGGCCCAGACUCCUACGGGAGGCAGCAGUGGGGAAUUUUGGACAAUGGGCGCAAGCCUGAUCCAGCCAUGCCGCGUGUCUGAAGAAGGCCUUCGGGUUGUAAAGGACUUUUGUCAGGGAAGAAAAGGGCGGGGUUAAUACCCCUGUCUGAUGACGGUACCUGAAGAAUAAGCACCGGCUAACUACGUG
RNAcentral lists this ribosomal RNA (490 nucleotides) under uncultured bacterium. RNAcentral describes it as "partial 16S ribosomal RNA". It matches the Rfam family "Bacterial small subunit ribosomal RNA", at positions 30 to 507 of the family's 1533-position model. The record is from RNAcentral.